CGCGCUUUUGUCCUUGUGCUGGACGUUUUUAAAGAUCAAAAGAGUGAUCGGAUUGCGUUUGUUUAAGACGGCUGGCGUGUUCGUCGGGGCCAAUCGACGAACGGGGUGUAAGGUUUUUUAGUGGUCGCGUUCGGACAAUUUAUUUAGCAUUGUCCUCGAAUUUUAACUUUUUGCGACGUCUCGCAGUUAUUUUCGAGGAUUAUGCGUGUUUGAAAGGUGAUAAUCUUUACGAUUUUUGGGCCGGAUGAGGCCGCAGACGAGCGUAAACUGAAGCGUAAGCGUUUUCGAUAAAAAGACAGUGUAUAUUGUAAAAAUUUU
RNAcentral lists this long non-coding RNA (318 nucleotides) under Brassica rapa (field mustard). RNAcentral's name for it is "long non-coding RNA (BRAP_LNC008204)". Lineage: Eukaryota; Viridiplantae; Streptophyta; Magnoliopsida; Brassicales; Brassicaceae. The record is from RNAcentral.